CUGAACUGGUAUAUCUUGCUCUUCUGAUCCGGAACAUCCUGCAAUGCGUAACGGGCCAGCUCGUGGAACUCAACAUUGUACUUGUACAUAGAAUUGCUGCCCUGCUUCAAGCGCCUGAACUUCUCACGCAUCUCCUCAACAAAACUGGAAGGAAUGUAGUGGGACCUGAAGUCACGACAGAACUCGUCCCAAGACAUCACCCUGCCACCUCUGGAGUCCUUAAGCUGCUGCCACCAAAUAGAAGCCUGCCCCUUCAACUGGAAUGUUGCAAACUUGACAUAAUCCUC
Molecule: long non-coding RNA, 287 nt
Filed under: Hordeum vulgare
Lineage: Eukaryota; Viridiplantae; Streptophyta; Magnoliopsida; Poales; Poaceae
Description: long non-coding RNA (HVUL_LNC018925)
Source: RNAcentral